AUACGGAGGGUGCGAGCGUUAAUCGGAAUUACUGGGCGUAAAGCGUGCGUAGGCGGUUUGCUAAGUCAGAUGUGAAAGCCCCGGGCUUAACCUGGGAACUGCAUUUGAUACUGGCAGACUAGAGUAUGCUAGAGGGGGGUAGAAUUCCUGGUGUAGCGGUGAAAUGCGUAGAUAUCAGGAGGAAUACCAGUGGCGAAGGCGGCCCCCUGGAUCAAUACUGACGCUGAGGUGCGAAAGCGUGGGGAGCGAACAGAAUUAGAAACCCUAGUAGUCC
This 274-nucleotide ribosomal RNA is filed under the name uncultured bacterium. Its description in RNAcentral is "partial 16S ribosomal RNA". It matches the Rfam family "Bacterial small subunit ribosomal RNA", at positions 523 to 796 of the family's 1533-position model. The record is from RNAcentral.